AGUGAACGCUGGCGGUAGGCCUAACACAUGCAAGUCGAACGGCAGCACAGUAAGAGCUUGCUCUUACGGGUGGCGAGUGGCGGACGGGUGAGGAAUACAUCGGAAUCUACUUUUUCGUGGGGGAUAACGUAGGGAAACUUACGCUAAUACCGCAUACGACCUACGGGUGAAAGCAGGGGAUCUUCGGACCUUGCGCGAUUGAAUGAGCCGAUGUCGGAUUAGCUAGUUGGCGGGGUAAAGGCCCACCAAGGCGACGAUCCGUAGCUGGUCUGAGAGGAUGAUCAGCCACACUGGAACUGAGACACGGUCCAGACUCCUACGGGAGGCAGCAGUGGGGAAUAUUGGACAAUGGGCGCAAGCCUGAUAGCCAUACCGCGUGGGUGAAGAAGGCCUUCGGGUUGUAAAGCCCUUUUGUUGGGAAAGAAAAGCAGCAGGUUAAUACCCCGCUGUUCUGACGGUACCCAAAGAAUAAGCACCGGCUAACUUCGUG
This 490-nucleotide ribosomal RNA is filed under the name uncultured bacterium. RNAcentral's name for it is "partial 16S ribosomal RNA". It matches the Rfam family "Bacterial small subunit ribosomal RNA", at positions 29 to 507 of the family's 1533-position model. The record is from RNAcentral.